RNAcentral lists this long non-coding RNA (3350 nucleotides) under Cricetulus griseus (Chinese hamster). RNAcentral describes it as "lncRNA (ENSCGRG00015029527.1)". The record is from RNAcentral. Lineage: Eukaryota; Metazoa; Chordata; Mammalia; Rodentia; Cricetidae.
GCCAUCUCUCCAGCCCCCCAAUUAUUUUCUUUAUUAAACCAACCACAGUGCCAUAUAUUCACACAGUGUAAAGGAAUAUUCCACGAAUGAGGAACCUUUCUUUCUAAUUUCUUUUUUAGGUUUAUUUAUUUGUGUGUAUAAAUGUUUUGCUUGCAUGUAUGUAUGUGUACCACACACAUGCAUGCUACCAAUGGAGGUCAAAAGAGGGCAUCAGAUUCCCUGGAACUGGAGUUACAGAUGGUUGGGGGCCACCAUGUGGGUUCUGGGAAUCAAACUGCUGCAAGAACAACACAUCUUAACUGAUAAGCCUCUUGUUUGUUUUCUGGAUAAUUAUUUUAACUGAGAUGAGAUGGAAUCUUAAAACAGUUUUAAUUAGUAUUUCUCUGCAAAGAGUGUUAAACACUUUAAAAAUAUACUGGCCUCUUAUGUUUCUUCUUUUCAGGGCUGUAUUCAAUUUAUUUUUUUCAUUUAUUAAUCAGAAGACUUGCGGUUUUGUUUUGUUUUUCCAAAAGCACUGUUUUAUUUAUACAGAGUCCUAACUAGUUCACAGGCAGGAGGAGUGGAAGAGGUUCCAUCUUCAACCCAGAGGCCUCUAUGACGUUGGUUUGCUGUUACCACACACACAGGCAAGCGGCAUCAUGGAUUUGGUAGACUAAUAGCAACGUUCAGUCUCUCUCUGCUAGAGCAACAAGGUGGGCAUCGAUCUCUGCUUCUGAGAGAAUUCUGAAUUUAGGAUUUUCAACUGUAACUACUCCAACUUCAAUUUCUGAAGGUUUGAAAUCAAUCGGCAGAACAGUAGACAGGCAUGUAAUUGCAGUUUCCACUGUUUGUUCAAAUGUCCAAUCAAAUUUCUCCUUUACUUUUUUUUUUCAAGAAAGAUGGUUGAUCUGUCUGUUUAACUCCUGCUGUGAUGGCUUUAAAGCCACAGUAGUAGCCUGCAGGAUCACACUUGUACACUUGAGGGCCUUGUUCUUCGUCUAUACCAAUUAAAAUCAUACAACAACCAAGCAGCCUCAUUUCAGCAUUCUGUGUGUAGACUUGAGAAAUAUCAGCAACUCUUUUGCACAGCAUGUCCACAGGAAUCUCAUAGCUGUAUUUGUAUUUCCAAUUAGCUGCCUCAUAGCGUGCCCUCUGUACCUGGGAUCUGCUGUCAGCUGUCAUCCCAGUCAUCACACAGCCAGUGUUUUCAGUUAUUUUGAACAAGUGAGUCACGGUGCUGGAAUCCAAUAAUUUGUCAGUGAAAGACCCCGAAGAGGCACUUUCGUAGAGGGAGACCCACACACCCAGGAAUCAGCGAGGCCACGAACUGGAUGCAAAAAAACAAGAGGCUUUAUUGGAGACGCAGGUACCUGGGGCGACUUAGCUUCUGUGUGGCUAAGCGCGCCCGCCCCAAGGGAAAGGCGUCCUUAUAUAGGGAAAAAGGCGCAAGCUAGGAGCAGGGAUUCUAUUUGAUGGUUCAAAUGAGGCACAGAGCCAUUCCAGAUCAGCAUAUUCUCAAGGUCUGGUGUCUGGUACAACAGACUUGAUUCCUCCCUCCGCGCCCAGGUGGCUGACCUUGGGGGCGGAGACCUUGGGACGGAGCGGUCCGGCGGGGGCCGGGGCCGGCGGCGGGGAAGUGCCGGCAGCUGUGGGGAUCAAGGGUCAGGGGGUGCAGGAGAGGAUGUAUUCGCCAGCUGCAUGCGGGAAAACUUAAAAGAGAAAGCUAAGGGCGGGGGUCUUUCAUUCCCCCAUUUCUCUUGUAACUGAAUGGAAUCUUUCAUUCAGAGGUCUCUGGUUAAGUCUUUCUCUAAGCUUGGCCAUGCUCUGUGGGGAUCAAGGGUCAGGGGGUGCAGGAGAGGAUGUAUUCGCCAGCUGCAUGCGGGAAAACUUAAAAGAGAAAGCUAAGGGCGGGGGUCUUUCAGUCAGGUACUUUCUUCUGUGUGACAAUUACUGCACAGUCUUUUCCUCUGAUGGCCACAGAUGUGAGUCCAUCUUGGUUAAUAGUCUUAAAAGCAUAUUUUACCUGGUAGAGUCGGCCCUCGGGAGAGAAAAUAGAAAUGUGGCGGUCAAAACCGGCGCUGGAACCACGGGACAUGAUGUUCCCGCUAUUUCAAGCACACACUGCACCCCAUAGCGCACACACCAGGCACACCAACCCCGCCCCAGAUGUGAUUGCCCCGGUUUUGUUUUUUGUUUGUUUAUUUUUUUUUAAUUUUGGAGACAGGGUUUCUCUGUGUAGCCUUGGCUAUCCUGGAACUCACUCUGUAGACCAGGUUGGCCUUGAACUCAGAGAUCUGCCUACCUCUGGCUCCCAAGGUAGGAUUAAAGGUGUUAACCACCUCUGAUAAGCAAGGAAGACUUGUUUUUUUUGUUUUUUUUUAUGCUUAAAUUUUGAUAUCCUUUAUACAUUCUAGAUACUAACCUCUUCCUGAAGUAUAGUCAGUCAAGCCCUGCCAUUCUGUAGACCGUCUCUUCACUCUGCUAAUUAUCCUUGGCUACUCAGGAAGUUUUACAUUUUCUGUCCUCCCUGUUGUCCGUCCUUAGGUGCUGCUGUCGGAGUCCUUUUCAGAAAGUGCUUGCCCAUGUCCGUCUUUAAGUGCUCCCCAUUUUCCCCUAGCAGCUUUAACACUUAAUUUUUAUAUUAAGCUCUUUGAUGUUUAGUCUGUAUUAGAGUCCAUAAUCUUUUGAAUUGAUUUUUAUACAAGGUAAAAGAUAUGGAUCUGCUUUUGUUAUUCUGCUUGUGGCUUGGCUAUCCAGUUCCUUUUCACCAUUUAUUGAAAAGGCUUUGCCCUCUAGUUUCUGACACCUUUCCAAAAGGAGGCUGGAACUGUGUGGACCAUUGGAUUGCUGAUGGAGAUUGCAUUGAAUCUGUAGCCUGUUUUCAGAAAUGUAGCCAUUUCCACACUAUCCAGUCAAUCCACGAACAUGGAAUCCAUGAGCCUUUCUACUUCCUGGUGUCUUUCUUCUUAGAUUUCCCAAUGUCUUCCUUUCUCUUCUUUGGUUUACUUUGAGCUGCUUUUAAAAAGCUGAUGUAAAUGGGGUAUUUUCCUAAUUUAUGUCUUGGCAAGCUUGUUAUUGGUAUGUUGAAAAGCCUCUGGUUUUGUAUGUUGAUUUACCAUCCUGCUGCUGAAAUCCAGCAAUUAUUUUACAGCUUUGUUAUAAAGGAUGGGAGGGAGGUUCCCCCAGGAAAUGGCAGUUAGAUGAAGUUGUUUAGUCAGGAUAGAAGUUUUAAAAGCAGAAGAUACCAACUUCAAUAUGGCUUUAGGCUGGUGGGUGACAGGGGAAUGAUUUCAACACUUAAAUUGUUUCCCACCUUUGCUGUAUUUAGUUUACCUUUAAAUUUCUCUGUUAUAGUUGCCUCCUUAUGCCUG